UCAGCAAACUACUAAUUGAGAAUAUUUGAUCAUGGUAUAAAGUUAGCGUUGGUAUUUUGUGUGCAUGGUAGUAUUUGCGGUUUGUCAUAAAUUCAGGUAUUUUCAGUUUAAUAUUUAAUAUCCAGGAUUAACAACCCAGCCAUAAGACAUUGAACAAUUCCCUAUAGGGAGAUUAAGAAAACACCUAUGUAGAAGCAGAAGGAAAUGGGGUGCCAGCACCUGCGGUUAAACCUCUUCUGCGAGUUAACUAGUGUUGUAAAGUAGAUUUCAUAUAUUAAUAAAUUAAAAUAGUUUAUAGAUAGGUAAAAUUUUUUAAACUGUCGUUAAGUGAAAGUUUAUUAAGGAGAUUUUCUACGAAGCUUAGGUUUAAUGACUGGGAUCAGAGACCCCAUUAAUUAAAGUGUGAAGAUAUUUUACGGGGACUAUUGACAAUUGUUUAAAACCUAAAUGAAUUUGGCGGUUCUAUAAACUCAGUUAGGGGAACCUGUAGCUUAAUCCGAUAGUCCACGUCUUACCUUACCUUACUUUCGUUUUUCCAUCGCCGUUGAGUUUUUCUUUAAGAGGGCAAAAAAACGGCACUAUUACUUAGUUGUUAAUUAACGGCUGAGUAUCAAUUCAGGUCGACAUGGAGCUAUAGUAAGGGGUUAUAUGGGUUACAAUUUUUUAGAAAAGUGGAUUUGUUGAGUUUGAAAUAGGCUUAUUGAAAAAGGACUUAAUAGUAAAUUUGUGUUAGAAUAGCAAGUUGAAUUGUGUUGAUAGUGCGUACAAAUUGCCCGGCACUCCCACUUGUAGAGGGGAUAAGCCGUAACAUAGUAAGGCUACUAGAAAGUGGUCUUGAGA
RNAcentral lists this ribosomal RNA (840 nucleotides) under Loripes lacteus. Its description in RNAcentral is "small subunit ribosomal RNA". Lineage: Eukaryota; Metazoa; Mollusca; Bivalvia; Lucinida; Lucinidae. The record is from RNAcentral.